GGGCGAUUAGCUCAGCUGGUAGAGUAUCUCGUUUACACCGAGAGUGUCGGCGGUUCGAGUCCGUCAUCGCCCACCA
RNAcentral lists this transfer RNA (76 nucleotides) under Rickettsia rickettsii. RNAcentral describes it as "tRNA-Val". It matches the Rfam family "tRNA". From Rfam's summary of the family: Transfer RNA (tRNA) molecules are approximately 80 nucleotides in length. The record is from RNAcentral. RNAcentral also lists the same sequence under 67 other names. Lineage: Bacteria; Pseudomonadati; Pseudomonadota; Alphaproteobacteria; Rickettsiales; Rickettsiaceae.